RNAcentral lists this ribosomal RNA (495 nucleotides) under uncultured Variovorax sp. Its description in RNAcentral is "partial 16S ribosomal RNA". Lineage: Bacteria; Pseudomonadati; Pseudomonadota; Betaproteobacteria; Burkholderiales; Comamonadaceae. The record is from RNAcentral.
CACGUAGUUAGCCGGUGCUUAUUCUUACGGUACCGUCAUUAGCCCUCUUUAUUAGAAAGAACCGUUUCGUUCCGUACAAAAGCAGUUUACAACCCGAAGGCCUUCAUCCUGCACGCGGCAUUGCUGGAUCAGGCUUUCGCCCAUUGUCCAAAAUUCCCCACUGCUGCCUCCCGUAGGAGUCUGGGCCGUGUCUCAGUCCCAGUGUGGCUGGUCGUCCUCUCAGACCAGCUACAGAUCGAAGGCUUGGUGAGCCUUUACCUCACCAACUACCUAAUCUGCCAUCGGCCGCUCCAUUCGCGCAAGGCCUUGCGGUCCCCUGCUUUCAUCCGUAGAUCGUAUGCGGUAUUAGCACAGCUUUCGCUGCGUUAUCCCCCACGAUUGGGCACGUUCCGAUGUAUUACUCACCCGUUCGCCACUCGCCACCAGGAUUGCUCCCGUGCUGCCGUUCGACUUGCAUGUGUAAGGCAUGCCGCCAGCGUUCAAUCUGAGCCAGGA